Molecule: ribosomal RNA, 1015 nt
Filed under: uncultured bacterium
Lineage: Bacteria
Description: bacterial SSU rRNA
Rfam family: Bacterial small subunit ribosomal RNA
Source: RNAcentral
AGAGUUUGAUCCUGGCUCAGAACGAACGCUGGCGGCGUGGAUAAGACAUGCAAGUCGAACGAGAUUUUUCGUUGUAGCAAUACGAUGGAAAAUUUAGUGGCGAACGGGUGCUUAACACGUGGGCAACCUGCCAGGAAGUGGGGGAUAGCUCGCCGAAAGGCGAAUUAAUACCGCAUGUGAUUAGAGAGGACAUCCUUUCGAAAUUAAAGUCGGGGCAACCUGACGCUUCUUGUGGGGCCCGCGGCCUAUCAGCUAGUUGGUGAGGUAACGGCUCACCAAGGCUUUGACGGGUAGCUGGUCUGAGAGGACGACCAGCCACACUGGGACUGAGACACGGCCCAGACACCUACGGGUGGCAGCAGUCGAGAAUUUUUGACAAUGGGGGAAACCCUGAUCGAGCGACGCCGCGUGGAGGAUGAAGGUCUUCGGAUUGUAAACUCCUGUCAUUGGGGAACAAUGCACAGAUAUUAACUGUAUCCGUGUUGAUAGUACCCGAAGAGGAAGAGACGGCUAACUCUGUGCCAGCAGCCGCGGUAAUACAGAGGUCUCAAGCGUUGUUCGGAUUCAUUGGGCGUAAAGGGUGCGUAGGCGGCGCGGUAAGUCGGGUGUGAAAUCUUGGAGCUUAACUCCGAAACUGCAUUCGAUACUGCCGUGCUUGAGGACUGGAGAGGAGACUGGAAUUUACGGUGUAGCGGUGAAAUGCGUAGAUAUCGUAAGGAAGACCAGUGGCGAAGGCGGGUCUCUGGACAGUUCCUGACGCUGAGGCACGAAGGUCAGGGGAGCAAACGGGAUUAGAUACCCCGGUAGUCCUGACAGUAAACGGUGCACGUUUGGUGUGGGAGGAUUCGACCCCUUCUGCGCCGGAGCUAACGCGUUAAACGUGCCGCCUGGGGAGUACGGUCGCAAGAUUAAAACUCAAAGAAAUUGACGGGGGCCCGCACAAGCGGUGGAGUAUGUGGCUCAAUUCGAUGCAACGCGAAGAACCUUACCAGGCCUUGGCAUGCAUCUCUAAGUU